This 448-nucleotide ribosomal RNA is filed under the name uncultured prokaryote. RNAcentral describes it as "bacterial SSU rRNA". It matches the Rfam family "Bacterial small subunit ribosomal RNA", at positions 355 to 796 of the family's 1533-position model. The record is from RNAcentral.
UCGAGAAUCAUUCGCAAUGGGGGAAACCCUGACGGUGCGACGCCGCGUGGAGGAUGAAGGCUUUCGGGUCGUAAACUCCUGUCACCAGAGAACAAGGAUGUUCAUCUAAUCACUGAACAUUUGAUGGUAUCUGGAGAGGAAGGGACGGCUAACUCUGUGCCAGCAGCCGCGGUAAUACAGAGGUCCCGAGCGUUGUUCGGAUUCACUGGGCGUAAAGGGUGUGUAGGAGGCUUGGAAAGUCAGCUGUGAAAACUUCGUGCUCAACGCGGAGCCUGCAACUGAUACUCCCGAGCUAGAGGAUCGGAGGGGCAAACGGAAUUCCAGGUGUAGCAGUGAAAUGCGUAGAUAUCUGGAGGAACACCGGUGGCGAAGGCGGUUUGCUGGACGAUUCCUGACUCUGAAACACGAAAGCUGGGGGAGCAAACGGGAUUAGAUACCCCCGUAGUCC